This 73-nucleotide transfer RNA is filed under the name Ctenophorus slateri. Its description in RNAcentral is "tRNA-Trp". The record is from RNAcentral. Lineage: Eukaryota; Metazoa; Chordata; Lepidosauria; Squamata; Agamidae.
UAGGGGCUUAGGACUAACACAAACCGAGAGCCUUCAAAGCCCUAAAUAAGAGUCACGCCCUCUUAGCCCCUGA